UACAGAGGGUGCAAGCGUUAAUCGGAAUUACUGGGCGUAAAGCGCGCGUAGGCGGGCAUUUAAGUCGGAUGUGAAAUCCCCGGGCUUAACCUGGGAACUGCAUUCGAGACUGAAUGCCUUGAGUAUGGUAGAGGAAAGUGGAAUUUCCGGUGUAGCGGUGAAAUGCGUAGAUAUCGGAAGGAACACCAGUGGCGAAGGCGGCUUUCUGGACCAAUACUGACGCUGAGGUGCGAAAGCGUGGGGAGCAAACAGG
RNAcentral lists this ribosomal RNA (253 nucleotides) under uncultured bacterium. Its description in RNAcentral is "partial 16S ribosomal RNA". It matches the Rfam family "Bacterial small subunit ribosomal RNA", at positions 524 to 776 of the family's 1533-position model. The record is from RNAcentral.